This 72-nucleotide transfer RNA is filed under the name Scleropages formosus (Asian bonytongue). It matches the Rfam family "tRNA". Rfam says of the family: Transfer RNA (tRNA) molecules are approximately 80 nucleotides in length. Their secondary structure includes four short double-helical elements and three loops (D, anti-codon, and T loops). Further hydrogen bonds mediate the characteristic L-shaped molecular structure. tRNAs have two regions of fundamental functional importance: the anti-codon, which is responsible for specific mRNA codon recognition, and the 3' end, to which the tRNAs corresponding amino acid is attached (by aminoacyl-tRNA synthetases). tRNAs cope with the degeneracy of the genetic code in two manners: having more than one tRNA (with a specific anti-codon) for a particular amino acid; and 'wobble' base-pairing, i.e. permitting non-standard base-pairing at the 3rd anti-codon position. The record is from Rfam by way of RNAcentral. Lineage: Eukaryota; Metazoa; Chordata; Actinopteri; Osteoglossiformes; Osteoglossidae.
GGGGGUAUAGCUCAGUGGUAUAGCAUUUGCCUGCAACUCAAGAUGCCCCCCAUUCAAAUCCAGGUGUCCCCU